UACGGAGGGGGCUAGCGUUGUUCGGAAUUACUGGGCGUAAAGGGCGCGUAGGCGGCCUGCUAAGUCGGAUGUGAAACCCCUCGGCUCAACCGAGGAACUGCAUCCGAUACUGGCGGGCUUGAAUCCGGGAGAGGGAUGCGGAAUUCCAGGUGUAGCGGUGAAAUGCGUAGAUAUCUGGAGGAACACCGGUGGCGAAGGCGGCAUCCUGGACCGGCAUUGACGCUGAGGAGCGAAAGCCAGGGGAGCAAACGGG
This 253-nucleotide ribosomal RNA is filed under the name uncultured bacterium. Its description in RNAcentral is "partial 16S ribosomal RNA". It matches the Rfam family "Bacterial small subunit ribosomal RNA", at positions 524 to 776 of the family's 1533-position model. The record is from RNAcentral.